RNAcentral lists this ribosomal RNA (429 nucleotides) under Chloroflexota bacterium. RNAcentral describes it as "Chloroflexi bacterium partial 16S ribosomal RNA". It matches the Rfam family "Bacterial small subunit ribosomal RNA", at positions 355 to 776 of the family's 1533-position model. The record is from RNAcentral. Lineage: Bacteria; Bacillati; Chloroflexota.
UAGGGAAUCUUCGGCAAUGGACGAAAGCCUGACCGAGCAACGCCGCGGGCGUGAAGAAGGUUUUCGGAUCGUAAAACUCCGUUGUUAGAGAAGAACAAAAAUGUUAGUAACUGAACGUCCCCUGACGGUAUCUAACCAGAAAGCCACGGCUAACUACGUGCCAGCAGCCGCGUUGAUACGUAGGUGUCAAGCGUUGUCCGGAUUUAUGGGGCGUAAAGCGAGCGCAGGCGGGUUCUUAGGUCGGAUGGGAAAGCCCCGGGCUCAACCGGGGAGGGUCAUUGGAAACUGAGUGGCUUGAUUGCAGAAGAGAAGAGUGGAAUUCCAUGUGUGGCGGGGAAAUGGGUAGGUAUAUGGAGGAAAACAAGUGGCGAGGGGGGCUCUCUGGUCUGUAAUUAACGCUGAGGCUCGAAAGCGUGGGGAGCAACCAGG